RNAcentral lists this ribosomal RNA (280 nucleotides) under Apicomplexa sp. RNAcentral's name for it is "partial small subunit ribosomal RNA". It matches the Rfam family "Bacterial small subunit ribosomal RNA", at positions 28 to 323 of the family's 1533-position model. Lineage: Eukaryota; Apicomplexa. The record is from RNAcentral.
GAUGAACGCACAAGACGUGCCUAACACAUGCAAAUCGAAUGAAAACAAUUUAAUUAUUGUUUUCAUGGUGAACGGGUGAGUAACACAUAAGAAUCAGCUUUUAGAUAAGGCAUAAAAGAGUAAUAUCUUGGUAAUUCCUUAUAUGCGCAGCAGUGCUUAAAAAGGGGAGUCCCGUCUAAAAACGAGCUUAUGCCUGAUUAGCUAGUUGGCGAGUUAAAAGCUCCCCAAGGCGAAGAUCAGUAGCUGGCCUGAGAGGGCGGCCAGCCACAUUGGGACUGAG